RNA transcript from Triticum aestivum (bread wheat), 1894 nucleotides. RefSeq lists it as uncharacterized. Lineage: Eukaryota; Viridiplantae; Streptophyta; Magnoliopsida; Poales; Poaceae. The record is from RefSeq and is a predicted model, not a curated record. The transcript is spliced from 8 exons.
CACGCGGUCCAUUCCUUAAGCAAGAGCCUCCAAGCCCCCCGUCGAACCCUAGCUAAGCCGCCGUCGGGACUCCCGACGACGUCGGGCGGCGCUUACCGCAACUCCGCAAGCCAGAUCGGGAGCCGCUCGUUGGUCGUGAACGGCCGAGAGAGGCGACCACCUGGCAGGCUCCAGCGAGUAAGGCUGCACGUGAGGAGGCGCUCCGAACCGACGACGAAGAGAAGGCGGCAGGCGGGGAGUGCGUACCCGCAUCUUUUACUCAGGCUGCUACUCCUCUGGGUCUCCUAUAGUUCGGUCUGCAAGAUUUCUCUUUGUUUGACUGCGUUCCAGGGGCUGCUCCACACAACUCAUUCACCGAGCUUUGAGUAUUAUUAUUGGAGAGUGCCAUUUGAGUUGUAGUUUUGUAUUCUGAAAUAUGCCAGCGGUUAGAAGUUUCAGUGCUGAGGUUUUUAAAGGCGUACACGAUAUUAUAUCACCCUCGCUUGUUCAGUUAGCAGUUUUUGGCAAGGAAGAUGAUGAACCAGUGCAACUUGGUACAGGUCUUGUCUUAGCUUGCACACGCGAGUAUAUUGGAGUAAUUACAACUAUUGGCUGUGAUCCGGCGGAAGGAUAUACUGUCGCUGCAAGAUUUGGUGACCAAAAUGAUUUGGACGCCAAAGUUGUAAUGAGAAGUGGACCACUGUAUGGUUUGAUCAUAUUGGGUUCUGAUCUUAAGGCUAAACCAUGCCUCGCUCCACGUUUCUAUGAUGGAGAAACUUUGAGUUCUGGGCCGGUGUUUGCUGUUGGGUGUCAGGGUUUCUACAAGGAUAUUAUUAUAGUUUCUGGAUUGAUUGGUGUUAAUGUCUGUAAAAAGUGGGUGGAAGGAAGAAAACUAUCGACACUUGUCCACACAUGUCAGAUUGGAGAUGGGUUAAUUGGAGCCCCAGUUCUUAAUCGAGGUGGCGAGGUUGUUGGGAUCAAUGUUGCUCGCACACGUCAGACAUCGCAAAUUAAUUAUGCAGUGAAGAUGGAAGAGUUCAGAAACAUGCUGGCAGAGUUAGUUGGCACCGAAUACAAGCCGGAGACUGGACUUGCAAGACUUCUGACAUUAUUCAAUGAGAAAAUAUCUGAAUUUGGAUCAACAACGGGAAAGCAUGGUGUGAAAAGAAAUUUUUUAUGCAGCCAAAACUCUACGCUUCUCCCUGAGUAUGGGCAUCUGCUUAUGUACAUUGCCUGACCGCUUAUUUACUGGAAGUUUUUUAUGCAGCCAAAACUCUACCGCUUCUCCCUGAGUAUGGGCAUCUGCUUAUGUUGGAACACACUUCGAGACAAUAAUCUGAAGACAGUGAAAUGUGGUACUUUUGGUUCCUAUAAAGCUUCUUAUAAUCAUCUGGAAUAAUCUGAAGACAGUGAUACCUAUUAUUGCGGAAGUGAUGGUAGGAACAUAUAUGCUCUUGCAAUGUCACAAUCAAAUGGCCUCAGUGAACUACAAACAUAAGCUGGCUCACCUAAUUUCCUUCUCAUGCCAAUUGUUAACGUCUAUUAUAAUAUCAACCCAGAAAAUUUGGCGAUUGGCACAUUCUCUGGAGUGAUAUCAGGAUAUGCAUUAAAAAUAGGGGCUGUGAUUGUCCUGAAUACUGAUAUCAAGGCGGUGAAUAGGUUGCUGUAGUGAGCUCCUAUUUUGUAAGCAACGCUGUGAUAGAUGGAUAUGCAUUAAAAACGCAAGCUGUUGCCGUGGCGGUAUUGGGUAGUCUUUUGGUUUUUGCCUUUGUUCUUCUGGCUUCUGCAAAAAAAAAAGAACUUUGUUCUUCUGGCAGCGUGUAUGCCUUGUUGCUUAGUGUUGAACCAGCCUACUGUGUACCUUGCCUGUAAAACACGAUUGUUUGCCUUGUAUAAGCAGACAUACCUUCCAGCU